AUCUUUAAGCCCUAAUUUAAAGUAAGACCUGCUCAAUGAAGCAUUAAAUAGCCGCAGUUAACCUGUGCUAAGGUAGCAUAAUAAUUAGCUUCAUAAUUAGAAGAUAGAAUGAAAGGUUAAACGAGAAGGAACUGUCUCAACUAUUAUAAUAAACUUUAUAUCUUAGUAAAAAAGCUAACAAUCAAAUAAAGGACGACAAGACCCCGAUAAACUAAUCUUUUAGUUGGGGCAACACAAUAAAAAAACCUUAUUAACACAACAAAACUAAAUAAUUAAUAUCGAAAAGUUACUACGGGGAUAACAGCGCAAUUUUUUAUAAGAGCCCUCAUCAAAUAAAAAGAUUACGACCUCGAUGUUGAAUUAACUAUCCACAGGCGCAAAAGCCUGACGCUGGGUUGGGUCUGUUCGACCAUUACAAAGUU
This 422-nucleotide ribosomal RNA is filed under the name Crossopriza cylindrogaster. RNAcentral describes it as "partial 16S ribosomal RNA". It matches the Rfam family "Bacterial large subunit ribosomal RNA", at positions 1828 to 2597 of the family's 2925-position model. The record is from RNAcentral. Lineage: Eukaryota; Metazoa; Arthropoda; Arachnida; Araneae; Pholcidae.